This 204-nucleotide ribosomal RNA is filed under the name uncultured bacterium. Its description in RNAcentral is "partial 16S ribosomal RNA". It matches the Rfam family "Bacterial small subunit ribosomal RNA", at positions 524 to 725 of the family's 1533-position model. The record is from RNAcentral.
UACAGAGGUCUCAAGCGUUGUUCGGAUUCAUUGGGCGUAAAGGGUGCGUAGGUGGCGAGGUAAGUCUGGUGUGAAAUCCCGGGGCUCAACCCCGGAACUGCACUGGAUACUGCUUUGCUUGAGUACUGGAGAGGAGAUUGGAAUUUUACGGUGUAGCAGUGAAAAUGCGUAGAUAUCGUAAGGAAAGACCGUGGCGAAGGCGAA